GGNGCUCUCCCNUAUGGUCGACCUGCAGGCGGCCGCGAAUUCACUAGUGAUUAGAGUUUGAUCCUGGCUCAGGAUGAACGCUGGCGGCGUGCCUAACACAUGCAAGUCGAACGAAGCAAUUUAACGGAAGUUUUCGGAUGGAAGUUGAAUUGACUGAGUGGCGGACGGGUGAGUAACGCGUGGGUAACCUGCCUUGUACUGGGGGACAACAGUUAGAAAUGACUGCUAAUACCGCAUAAGCGCACAGGGCCGCAUGGUCCGGUGUGAAAAACUCCGGUGGUGUAAGAUGGACCCGCGUCUGAUUAGGUAGUUGGUGGGGUAACGGCCCACCAAGCCGACGAUCAGUAGCCGACCUGAGAGGGUGACCGGCCACAUUGGGACUGAGACACGGCCCAAACUCCUACGGGAGGCAGCAGUGGGGAAUAUUGGACAAUGGGCGAAAGCCUGAUCCAGCGACGCCGCGUGAGUGAAGAAGUAUUUCGGUAUGUAAAGCUCUAUCAGCAGGGAAGAAAAUGACGGUACCUGACUAAGAAGCCCCGGCUAACUACGUGCCAGCAGCCGCGGUAAUACGUAGGGGGCAAGCGUUAUCCGGAUUUACUGGGUGUAAAGGGAGCGUAGACGGUUUAGCAAGUCUGAAGUGAAAGCCCGGGGCUCAACCCCGGUACUGCUUUGGAAACUGUUAGACUUGAGUGCAGGAGAGGUAAGUGGAAUUCCUAGUGUAGCGGUGAAAUGCGUAGAUAUUAGGAGGAACACCAGUGGCGAANGCGGCUUACUGGACUGUAACUGACGUUGAGGCUCGAAAGCGUGGGGAGCAAACAGGAUUAGAUACCCUGGNUAGUCCACGCCGUAAACGAUGAAUACUAGGUGUCGGGGGGGCAAAGCCCUUCNGUGCCGCCGCAAACGCAAUAAGUAUUCCACCUGGGGAGUACGUUCGCAAGAAUGAAACUCAAAGGNANUNGACGGGGACCCGCACAAGCGG
Molecule: ribosomal RNA, 979 nt
Filed under: uncultured Clostridiales Family XIV bacterium
Lineage: Bacteria; Bacillati; Bacillota; Clostridia; Eubacteriales; Clostridiales Family XIV. Incertae Sedis
Description: bacterial SSU rRNA
Rfam family: Bacterial small subunit ribosomal RNA
Source: RNAcentral